AGGCAUGCACUUUAAUUAUUUCUUACGUUAGGAGUUUUCUUGGAAGCAGAUUGGCACCGGUUGACCUUGAAUGCUGAUGCUUAAAAAUUGCAUAAAUUCCACACAGGAAGUAACUAUGCAUUUUACCCUUUUUUUCUAAUUCUCAUGAGCUUCAAAUUUGCUACAUAUAUUACCCUUUUUUUUCUAAUUCUCAUGAGCUUCAAAUUUGCUACAUCCUUUAGAAGAUUAAUUUAUGACACUAAAUUAUGGGAAAGAUAACUUUUGGUUAUACCAAAACUAUGAGAGCAAAGGAUCAUACUUAUUGUGUUGUUUGGGCACCACUGCCAUUGAUAUAGUACAAUAUUGUAUCCAAUUUAUAGAUCCUUUUCUUUGAGAAUCUGUUGGAUGGGCCAUAUCUCACUCUGGCCAGUGAAUUGGUGUGAAACCACUAUAUUAAAUUCAACCUAUACUGCUGUAUCAAAGACUAUGAUCAUAUAACUUACCAUAUCAACUUUAACUUUAUGCCUUUUGACAUAUUCAUUUGUUAAAUAUCAUUAGUUCUUGUAAAUCUUAAGCAUCAAAUUUCUCUAGCCACCUGAAGCAUGGAUAAAGUAAUUAACCUUUCCCUUUUAUUUUACGAUCUCUGUAUAUUAACAUACUGUGCAUUAUGAACUUACACUGUGUUUGUUUCUCGUGUGCUUUUCUUGACAUUUUAUCAUCGGCAAAUCUUUCUUUGGUCCUAUCCCAGGCUGAAAUGGAAAAAAGGAGGCAUGAGAAGCAUCAGACUUCAUGUACUAUUUAAUAUUAGAUGUCAAUUCCCUUGUGCUGGUACAUAGUAAUCUUUACUUCAUACUGAACCUGGUUAUUCUACCUCUGUAGGGUUGCAAAUGAGCCCAGCCGAGCUGAGUACCAGGCUGCUUGGGCUUGGCUUGGCUUAUAAACAGGCCUCUUGAGCUUGUCUCGAACUUGGACUGGCUCAACAAAACUUGCUCAAGCUCGGCUUGUCUAAGCUUCGAGCCAAGCUUUAGUCAAGCUGAAUUGGGCCUGUCCAUUGUAUUUGAACAAGCCCCAUGUUCAGGCUUUGCUCAUUUAUGAGCCAAGCUCUGAAAUGUGUUUAAUCUCAGCUCGUUUCCUAGUUGAGCUGAGCUCGUACAAGCUGAUUGCGCGAGCAGCUUGAUUCAUUUGCACCCGAGCCAAGCUCUGAAAUGUGUUUAAUCUCAGCUCGUUUCCUAGUUGAGCUGAGCUCGAACAAGCUGAUUGCGCGAGCAGCUUGAUUCAUUUGCACCCCUAUACUGCUGUAUCAAAGACUAUGAUCAUAUAACUUACCAUAUCAACUUUAACUUUAUGCCUUUUGACAUAUUCAUUUGUUAAAUAUCAUUAGUUCUUGUAAAUCUUAAGCAUCAAAUUUCUCUAGCCACCUGAAGCAUGGAUAAAGUAAUUAACCUUUCCCUUUUAUUUUACGAUCUCUGUAUAUUAACAUACUGUGCAUUAUGAACUUACACUGUGUUUGUUUCUCGUGUGCUUUUCUUGACAUUUUAUCAUGCAGGG
RNAcentral lists this long non-coding RNA (1527 nucleotides) under Phoenix dactylifera (date palm). RNAcentral describes it as "long non-coding RNA (PDAC_LNC004457)". Lineage: Eukaryota; Viridiplantae; Streptophyta; Magnoliopsida; Arecales; Arecaceae. The record is from RNAcentral.